GCGGGGGUAGCUCAGUGGUAGAGCGUCUGCUUCCCAAGCAGGAUGUCGCGGGUUCGAUCCCCGUCCCCCGCUCCA
RNAcentral lists this transfer RNA (75 nucleotides) under Chloroflexota bacterium. RNAcentral's name for it is "Chloroflexi bacterium tRNA-Gly". It matches the Rfam family "tRNA". Rfam says of the family: Transfer RNA (tRNA) molecules are approximately 80 nucleotides in length. Their secondary structure includes four short double-helical elements and three loops (D, anti-codon, and T loops). Further hydrogen bonds mediate the characteristic L-shaped molecular structure. tRNAs have two regions of fundamental functional importance: the anti-codon, which is responsible for specific mRNA codon recognition, and the 3' end, to which the tRNAs corresponding amino acid is attached (by aminoacyl-tRNA synthetases). tRNAs cope with the degeneracy of the genetic code in two manners: having more than one tRNA (with a specific anti-codon) for a particular amino acid; and 'wobble' base-pairing, i.e. permitting non-standard base-pairing at the 3rd anti-codon position. RNAcentral also lists the same sequence under 1 other name. Lineage: Bacteria; Bacillati; Chloroflexota. The record is from RNAcentral.